This 303-nucleotide small nuclear RNA is filed under the name Neotoma lepida (desert woodrat). RNAcentral describes it as "7SK RNA". It matches the Rfam family "7SK RNA". From Rfam's summary of the family: 7SK was discovered as an abundant small nuclear RNA in the mid-70s but a possible function has only recently been suggested. Two independent studies have found that 7SK RNA binds the CDK9/cyclin T complex (known as elongation factor P-TEFb). P-TEFb activates transcription by phosphorylating the C-terminal domain of RNA polymerase II. The record is from Rfam by way of RNAcentral. Lineage: Eukaryota; Metazoa; Chordata; Mammalia; Rodentia; Cricetidae.
GGAUGUGAGGUUGAUCUGGCUUGUAACAUGGGUCACCACCUUGAUUGCCAGGGUUGACUUGGCUGAUCUGAUAGGUACCCUUCCUUCUACACAGCUCCAUAUGUAUCCCUCCUGAAGUUGCCCACUCUGUGGAAGAACAACCUUCCCUGAAUAGAAGACUGUCAAAGGUAUACAAGUAGCAGUGGUCCCAGCAAGAACCUCCAAGCAAAUUCUCAAGAUUUUCAACCCUUUUAAAGCCCAAGGUCUUGCAGGGUGUGGUGGUGCUCACCUUCAGUCCCAGCACUCAGGGGGAGUGAUGGUGCU